CAUAUCUCCUCCUACAUGUUUGACACCAGGACGAGGUGGAGCUUCUUUGAUCACAUGAGGCAAGUCGAAGUUAAUGGCAGAAAUAGAAGGAUACUUUGAAAUGAUCAUGUUAAUGGCAACUCCAGAUCCGCCGCCAACAUCCACUAAAGAGUUAAGUCCCCGGAAACCACUGUAGGUAUCAAGAACUUUGCUCAAGAUAUACGAGGAAAGAUUAUCCAUGGCUUUGUUGAAGUUCUUCACCGAUUCUUGAUUUAAGCUUAUGUGUUUGUACAUGGGUACCCCAUGGGCUUUCUCAAAUGGAUUGCCACCUUCAAGAAUUGCGUCCUUCAGGUAAAACCAUGCCUCAGUCCAAGAUUUAUCAUCAGAAGAGGAAGCAGCCAUGGAUACUCCAUCUUUAUUCUUAACGAACAACUGACCAGUAGGAGAAAGGCCAUAUCGCCUUUCGAUAACAUGAUCGUCAAGGGUUCGCAAAGAACAAGUGAGCAGCGAGUAGCA
RNAcentral lists this unclassified non-coding RNA (495 nucleotides) under Hevea brasiliensis (rubber tree). Lineage: Eukaryota; Viridiplantae; Streptophyta; Magnoliopsida; Malpighiales; Euphorbiaceae. The record is from RNAcentral.